CGUAGGGUGCAAGCGUUAAUCGGAAUUACUGGGCGUAAAGCGUGCGCAGGCGGUUUUAUAAGUCUGAUGUGAAAUCCCCGGGCUCAACCUGGGAACUGCAUUGGAGACUGUAAGGCUAGAGUGUGUCAGAGGGGGUAGAAUUCCACGUGUAGCAGUGAAAUGCGUAGAUAUGUGGAGGAAUACCGAUGGCGAAGGCAGCCCCCUGGGAUAACACUGACGCUCAUGCACGAAAGCGUGGGGAGCAAACAGGAUUAGAUACCCUGGUAGUCCACGCCCUAAACGAUGUCAACUGGUUGUUGGGUCUUUACUGACUCAGUAACGAAGCUAACGCGUGAAGUUGACCGCCUGGGGAGUACGGCCGCAAGGUUG
This 369-nucleotide ribosomal RNA is filed under the name uncultured organism. RNAcentral describes it as "bacterial SSU rRNA". It matches the Rfam family "Bacterial small subunit ribosomal RNA", at positions 526 to 896 of the family's 1533-position model. The record is from RNAcentral.